CUGGCUGUGUUGGAUAGAGUUAGUUGACUUGGAGGGAGUUUUGAAUAGUUGUCUGGUGAAGGUUUGUAAUAGAGUUAUUGCAAUCUUUAUGACUUAGAGUUAAGUACAUUUGAGUUUGUAAUCAGAGUUGAUUUGAUCAUAGUAGAGCUUGAGAAAGUUUAUGAGGACAGGUCGUGGUUUUUCCUCCCUUGAGCUGGGAGGUUUCCACUUAAAAUUUAUUUGUGUUGAUUUUCUACUUUCCAUUUUACUAUUCCUUAUUAACUCUUAGGUACCUAGUCCCUCAGUGGUGGUGAAUCCCUACAUUUCAGUAAUUGGUAUCAGAGCGAGGUUCAUUCUAAAUGGUUAACACCUAGAAUAGAUCCUUGAUUAUGGAUACACU
This 379-nucleotide long non-coding RNA is filed under the name Capsicum annuum. RNAcentral's name for it is "long non-coding RNA (CANN_LNC020603)". Lineage: Eukaryota; Viridiplantae; Streptophyta; Magnoliopsida; Solanales; Solanaceae. The record is from RNAcentral.